UUUUUCUCUCUUCCUCCUUCCUCUUUUUUUUUUGUUUAUUCUUCGCUUAUGUCUCAUCUCUCUCUCCCUCUGUUUCUCGAAUGCUCCGACGGCGAAAGCUCUCCGAAAAGGAUUGUCUGAAGUUGUGGAUUACAUUGUUCAUAAACUGUGGGAACGCAACAGCAUUGGGGUAUCUAUGUUAUAUAUAUAUAUAUAUAUGUUUGUUUUUGAAUGCAAAUGUUAAGGAAGAAUUGUGGCCAUAGUCAUCUUCCCCAAUCUCUGCUAGCUAUCUAGUUUCAAAUAAGAAAUCAAUGACGACAUCGAAGACGACGAUGAUAUAGUUGCAGACAAUGGUAAGUAAUUCCGAAAUUUUGGGGACUUUACGAAAAUUGAUUUCUUGAUUGAAUUCGAAGAUCCAGUUUUUGGCUUUUUCCUGUGUGGAAUUAAAAUUCACAAAUUUGUCUUCCUUUCACUAUGAAAUUUGAAUAUGCUGGUUUCAUUGUAAGUGGUGAAACUGAACUUCCCACUGAGGAGGAUGAUGAUCAUAGGCAAUUUUACCAACAGAGGUUUCAUCCUGAUCAAGAAGAAGAUUUCGGAAGCGGAUAAGGAAGCUCACGUGAUGUUGAUGUUGAUAAUCUGCGUAAGAGGGUCACGAUCAAGUUGAAUGAGUUUCAUGUUCUCUUUUCAGGUUUGGACCCUCUGUUUUCUACUUAGCAAUAUGUCUCUCUGUUUUCUACUUAGCAAUAUGUCUCUCUGUUUUUUUUUGUCAAACCAAGCAUGGAGUAUUGAAACCAAAGCUCUUGUGAAAGUGGCGUUCUUGUUUGUCUUAUCGGAACCAAAGCAUUGAAACCUUGUGUUGUUUCUUUUUAA
Molecule: non-coding RNA, 849 nt
Organism: Camelina sativa (false flax)
Lineage: Eukaryota; Viridiplantae; Streptophyta; Magnoliopsida; Brassicales; Brassicaceae
Source: RefSeq, a predicted model, not a curated record